ACAGUAUGUAUGCAUGGUGGGGUGCAGAGAGUGGGGUGGCCAGCGGGUGAUGAGUGAGGGGAGAAGACAACAGGAGAUAGGAGGCCAUGGUCUGACCUUCCUCCAAAGCCCGGAAUCCCUGAGUCUGUCUCUGGCAGCUGUGAAACAGAGGGAGCAUGGGAUCUGAACCGUGCCGCCAUCUGGGAGGUCACACACACUCACAGCCAACCCCCCGGAAGGAAACUCGGGCUGAAAUACACCAUUUGCUGAAGAGCAGGGCUGGGCACUGGUUUCUCUGCGUUCUGAAUUUCUAGAAAGGGUAGGGUCUCCGUUGCCAGGCGGCGUCUGCCACCUCUUCCCACCGCCGCCCCUCCAGCCCUCCACCCCUUCCCCUGGGAGACCCCCUGUGAGGACCCUCAGCAAACUUCUGCAAAACCUGACAGGCCCUGGGUGCAGGGUGGUGUGGACGCAGAUCUUUCAGGCCGAGGGGGAGGCGGCGGGAGUGUGGGCGUGGAGGUGCGAGAGGCGCGCAGCCUCCGCCUGCCCAGCUGUCUCUGCGGACCCCGCCGAGGGAGGGAGAGAAGCGCUAGGAAAAGGAAGAGGAGAAGGAGCUCGAGCGGGAGGCAAGCGAGAGGCUCUCUUGCUCCUCCCAAAGCAGGGGGCGGCUCCACUGUGCUUCUGAUGACCCGGCCGCCGCCGCCGCCCUGCAACCGCUCCCCGGGACCCGUCAACGCUGACACUGAUGACCCGCGGUGGGGGCGCUGGGCGCGGGGUGCGCAGGCCACUGGCCGCGGGCUCUCGGGCCCACUCCUGCCGCCGGCUUCCGCUGCUUCCGCGUGCCGUGGACACUGCCAGAAUUUGUCAAAGGUCCUAGGAAGAAAAGGCUCUUUCACCCCUCCCCUCAAUGAACAGAUGUGGAGAAUUCGCUGCAGGAGGAGAGAGCCAAUUGGAACUAGGCAAGUUAACAGGAGCUUCCAAACGGACUGAUGGAUAGAACCCAUCAACAGAAACCUUGGAGCAAGCACUCCUGGAGAUUCGUUGAUUUGUUCUUUGUUCAUUUAUCCAGCACAUUUUUGUUGAGGGCCUACAUUGUAUUUGACACUGUGGAUUAAGGAUCAUUAAACAGAUAAGUAGGGACUGUGCCCUCACAACCUAGUGAGAAAGUUCAAAGCUGAACAUUUGUUACACAUGUGAUGCAUGUUAUCAAAGUGGAGGUGCAGACCAUUCGGGGGUGUAACACAGGGCACUCAGUCAUUCUAGGAGCACAGGGCCUUCUCCCCUGAGAAAUUGCCUGGUUCUGGGGUCAGUGUGAGAAAUGCAGGGACUCUCAAAUCAUUGUUGCCCUGUGUCUUCUAACUCCAAGCUGCUCUCUGCUUUUCUCCUCCUGCCCAAUCCCAGCUCUGGUUUCCCUGUUUAUCUAAGAAGAAGAAAGGGCUCCAAAGGGCUGUGGGAAUGGGGAGAGGGCAGGACUACCUGCAGCCCGCUCCCUCCCUGUGAAAGUCUCGCCAGCCUUGUGGAAUGUUGUCUUUCCGUAGGGCUUCUUCCACCUAAUUCUUCAGAAGGGAUUUGAAGGUCUUCUACCAACCGUGCUUCCCCCCUUCCCUUUUCAAAAAAUUCCCUUACUUAGAUUGCAUUAAUAAAACCAUAUUGUCUGGAUGAAAGGAGAAGAUGAACCUGUUCUAGUAUGUGAGGGACAAACCAGACUUGAGUAUUGUUUGCAAUUCUCAUAUUCAGACAACCACAAAACACGACUGAUUUUAAGGAGGGUGGCCAGGGGGGUGAAAGAACUUGGAAGCAUGGCUCAUGGAAAACAUAGAGAACUGGAAUGUUUCACCAGAAGACAUAGGGUGGCAUGACAACCCUGCUCCAAAGCCUGAAGGACUGUCCUAAGGAAGAAGACAAAUGCCAAUUAAUGCCCCAACAUAAGAGCAAAGGUCAAUGGGCUAAAGUCAAAAUAACAGAUUUUUAAAAUCUCAAUAUUUUAGAAAAAGGAAUUUUAUGAGAAUUGCUGGAAAUGGAGUGGAGACCACAGGGGAUUGAGAAGUGGUGAGUUCUCCACAGGAGAAAUGCAAGCAGUGGCUCAACAGCCAUUUAGCAGGGAUAUUUUUAAAAGGAAGACAAAGUUAGGUAAAGUAAUAGGCUCAGGCUCUGUAAGACACCACUCACACUUGGCAGCACAUGAUUCUCUGUGCAAGUCAAAUUAAUCUGGUUUUCAUCCUAAGCCUUCAGUCGCUGUCAUCGUCUUUCCCAGGUUGUCUCUACCAAGCCCUCCAGAAGCCCUUCAAGACCUGGUAUGGGAGGAACGUCUCUUUGGGGGCGCUCAGAGAGCCUCUCUGAGCUCUGGCUCUGUUUUGUCCACCACAGUGUCUGCCCAAUUAUGGCAUCCGCGUUCUCCCCAGCUGAGAGCCACUGAGCACACCGGGCCAUCUAUCCAUCUCACUGUUAAGUACAGAAAAGAGAAAACGCCUAAUCUCUUCCUACCUCCUCUCAAAGUUUGAGGCUUAUUUCCUCUCAAACUUCAAAUCUCGAGUCUUGCCGCCAGAAACCACUGAGAAGCCACUGACUUGCCUCAGCAGCACACAAGUCUGUCAGCUCUAGAAGUUGAUUGUGCACCCCAGAUUAAGAAGAACUUGUGUUUCCAGCCUGUCUAAGAUGGUUUCCACUCAUAUCACUUCAGGUGCAGCUCCCUCAUAUGCUACAGCAUGUGGUACCUUUAAAUGGCAAACUUUUCUAAAAAGGCAGAAAGCAAAAUGGAUUCAAUCCAGGAGAACUAAUCCUGGAAAAUCAAAAUCUUCCACAUGGGGGUGAUGAUAAACAGAUGCCUCUCAUCUCGACAAAUGAAAGGUCACCGACAGACAGUGCAGAGUAAUUAUUAAAUAACUUCUCCCAUUUGUUCAGGAUCAGUAGCGACCUCAUUACCUAGAUCCAAAGACAAAAUCUCUAAAUCCUGGGCAUGGAU
Molecule: long non-coding RNA, 2938 nt
Filed under: Pan troglodytes (chimpanzee)
Lineage: Eukaryota; Metazoa; Chordata; Mammalia; Primates; Hominidae
Description: lncRNA (ENSPTRG00000053245.1)
Source: RNAcentral